CUUGCUUUCUUUGCUGGCGACCGGCGCACGGGUGAGUAACACGUAUCCAACCUACCCUUUACUCGGGGAUAGCCUUUCGAAAGAAAGAUUAAUACCCGAUAGCAUAAUGAUUCCGCAUGGUUUCAUUAUUAAAGGAUUCCGGUAAAGGAUGGGGAUGCGUUCCAUUAGGUUGUUGGUGGGGUAACGGCCCACCAAGCCUUCGAUGGAUAGGGGUUCUGAGAGGAAGGUCCCCCACAUUGGAACUGAGACACGGUCCAAACUACUACGGGAGGCAGCAUG
RNAcentral lists this ribosomal RNA (279 nucleotides) under uncultured bacterium. RNAcentral describes it as "partial 16S ribosomal RNA". It matches the Rfam family "Bacterial small subunit ribosomal RNA", at positions 75 to 353 of the family's 1533-position model. The record is from RNAcentral.